UAAGGAAAAUAUUUACAAAUAGCUGUUUUGUUUGCAAUGCUAUGUUUUUAGCAGCUGGACAAAUAUUCAGUUUAACUCUCAUUAUGUGUUUUGAACUUGUUUCUGAAUAAGUUUUUUCAUUCGUGAUCAGAAAUCAGAAGAAGCUGCUGAACAUAAUCGACCAAAAAUGGUAAAAAGUGAUAAUAGUCGAAGCAACGAGAUGCGAUGAUUUCUCGCCAAACAUGUGAAAAGGGCCCAUGUGCCAAAUGUAAACAAACCGAGAUUUAAUGUUUUUUUCAAUUUAAACAUGUCUAAUCUACCCUUGCGUGUAAGAAUUUUUGAUUGAAAUAAUCAUUUUAAAGGUUUUAUCUGCGAAUUAAAAAAGGGCCCAAGUUAAGUCGCAAUCUGCAUAGUUUGCUGAUGGGCCCUUUUACCUAUUCAGUUCAGAAUGUCAGUGCUCGUGUUUUGAACAAAAUUAUUUAGUGUAAUAUGGAGGGUGAUAAUUUCGAAGUGAUGUUGCAAGUAGCAUCAAAGAUUUUACGGUGUGAUGAAGCUGUUAAUUCAUUCAGUACUCCGGUCGUAGGCCGAUAUGAAGAGGCAGAAGCAAACAGAAGUCUUUUUGAUUUAUCUGCCUCAUUCCGUGAUGUUGUCACUUCCACGUGCAACAUCGUAUUUUACUCAACCUGAGAGUAAUCCUUUGGAUUUAUCGCAAACCAUGACAGAGGAUGAAGCAUUGGAUCUGUCAACGAAACAGUAUAGGAGUAGCAGUGACAUGGAUUCUCCAAUCAAUUUAGCUGUGUUGAAAGUUCAACGGCAGGGCGUAGAAGUAUCUGGCGAUAGGCCAUUUAAUUUAAUAACAGCUAGCAACAUUGCAACCUCCUCUGGUCAUUGCAAAAGAUUUUCGAAAGAAUUAGUAGUUCCGAGCACACUCAAAGUUAUAGAGAAUACAACCGCUAAGCCGAAUUCCGUCAACUCAUCUGCUAGUUGUCAAAAUUUAGCAUUAAACACAUCGAAGUUUGCAAUUUCCGUAUUACCGGACACACAAUUUUUGGAUACAAGUUUGAAAAACAAAAAUGACAGCGAAAGAAACGAUGAGACUGAUGACGAUGAUAGUGUGGAUAUGCCAUUAGGUGAUGCAUCAUUGCUGAACGACCUUUCUAUAUUCGAGUACUUCGAACCGUAAGGUAUUCGAAAGAAAAACGAAUGCUAAGAAAGCGACCGUAUACAACAACAAGGCUGUCCAGAUCACCAUUACUAGAAAAUGGGUAUAGGGCGGAUGAUGUAUAUAACAACACGGAUAUUUUCAUUAAUAUGGUGGCCACAGAUGAUUGCAGGUUACUAAUUCAACAAGAGAGAUAACUCGAGUAUAUUUCUUGCCUGGAGGAAAAGGUAUGGUGAAAGUUUGUAAAACCAUGUUUUUAGCGACGUUCGACAUAAAAAGCAAAAAAGUUCGGAUCAUUGCAUCAAAGUUGGUUAACGGCAUGUGCAUUGCGCAGGAUGACCAACGCUCCCACAAUUGCAAUCGAAACCUCUGAACUGCGGAACCUCCUCCCAUUUGUAAGCAACAAGCAAUAUUAUGAGGUGAUGCUUAAAAAUUUAGUGGUUAAAAAGCGUGGACGAAAAAAGUUAAGUAAAUGCGACGAUCAUUUCGAAGAUGAUAUGGACAGGCUUGAGGAAGAGUAUAUAAAAUGAAUAUAUCCGUGUACUUACGUAAAAACUUUAUUAUUAAAAUCAUUAAAAAUAAUUAUAAUGGAUAUUCGAUAGCAAAA
Long non-coding RNA from Wyeomyia smithii (pitcher-plant mosquito), 1748 nucleotides. RefSeq lists it as uncharacterized. Lineage: Eukaryota; Metazoa; Arthropoda; Insecta; Diptera; Culicidae. The transcript has 4 exons. The record is from RefSeq and is a predicted model, not a curated record.